ACUACGGGUGGCAGCAGUGGGGGAUAUUGCACAAUGGGGGGAACCCUGAUGCAGCGACGCCGCGUGGGCGAAGAAGCGCUUCGGCGCGUAAAGCUCUGUCAGCAGGGAAGAAAAUGACGGUACCUGACGAAGAAGCCCCGGCUAACUACGUGCCAGCAGCCGCGGUAAUACGUAGGGGGCAAGCGUUAUCCGGAUUUACUGGGUGUAAAGGGGGCGCAGACGGCGGUGCAAGCCAGGAGUGAAAGCCCGGGGCCCAACCCCGGGACUGCUCUUGGAACUGUGUGGCUGGAGUGCAGGAGGGGCAGGCGGAAUUCCUGGUGUAGCGGUGAAAUGCGUAGAUAUCAGGAGGAACACCAGUGGCGAAGGCGGCCUGCUGGACGACGACUGACGUUGAGGCCCGAAAGCGUGGGGAGCAAACAGGAUUAGAUACCCUAGUAGUC
This 440-nucleotide ribosomal RNA is filed under the name uncultured bacterium. Its description in RNAcentral is "partial 16S ribosomal RNA". It matches the Rfam family "Bacterial small subunit ribosomal RNA", at positions 338 to 795 of the family's 1533-position model. The record is from RNAcentral.